This 298-nucleotide ribosomal RNA is filed under the name uncultured bacterium. RNAcentral's name for it is "partial 16S ribosomal RNA". It matches the Rfam family "Bacterial small subunit ribosomal RNA", at positions 775 to 1067 of the family's 1533-position model. The record is from RNAcentral.
GGAUUAGAUACCCUGGUAGUCCUAGCCGUAAACGAUGGGCACUAGUUAGGGGUCCUCCUGUGGGAUCCCUGACGAAGCAAAUGUACUAAGUGCCCCGCCUGGGGAGUAUGGUCGCAAGGCUGAAACUCAAAGGAAUUGACGGGGGCUCACACAAGCGGUGGAGCAUGUGGUUUAAUUCGAAACAACGCGAAGAACCUUACCCAGCCUUGACAUCUAGGGAUAACUCGUGUGAAAGCAUGGGGAUUGCCUUCGGGUGUAACCUAGACAGGUGUUGCAUGGCUGUCGUCAGCUCGUGUCG